This is a non-coding RNA of Pelobates cultripes (western spadefoot toad), 345 nucleotides long. The record is from the annotation of a GenBank genome assembly. Lineage: Eukaryota; Metazoa; Chordata; Amphibia; Anura; Pelobatidae.
CUGAAGGCCACUCUAGAUCAAUGAUAACAUUUUCUGCGUUAAAAAACUGCUUCUGGGAAAUGUAAAGCCUAGUAUAAACACUCUGUUUAUCCCCAUCCUUAUUUUAUCAUUUAUAACUUGUAUCUGUUGGAAGGAGGAGGCAUAAAGUAAUUUAGCAAUUUCCGUCCAGUAGUGAAUGUACCCCCUCUGAGAGAAUGAUCUUCAUCAAUAAACAAUGGCUUGCAGUGCUCUGGUUAGUAAGUUAGCGUCCUUAGAGUAUUUGUGUGAACUUGAUCACAUACCUUUCAGCGUCCUUUUCUACCUUUCUAUUUAUAUAUAUUUUUUAUAUAUUACAUCUCACUCUUA